RNAcentral lists this ribosomal RNA (430 nucleotides) under Helcococcus sp. canine oral taxon 069. RNAcentral's name for it is "bacterial SSU rRNA". It matches the Rfam family "Bacterial small subunit ribosomal RNA", at positions 9 to 449 of the family's 1533-position model. Lineage: Bacteria; Bacillati; Bacillota; Tissierellia; Tissierellales; Peptoniphilaceae. The record is from RNAcentral.
GAGUUUGAUUAUGGCUCAGGACAAACGCUGGCGGCGUGCAUAACACAUGCAAGUCGAACGAAAUCUACAUGAUUUAGUGGCGAACGGGUGAGUAACACGUGAGAAACCUGCCUUACACAGAGGGAUAGCCGUUGGAAACGACGAUUAAUACCUCAUGACACCGUGACAUCGCAUGAUGAUGCGGUCAAAGAUUUAUCGGUGUAAGAUGGUCUCGCGCCUGAUUAGCUGGUUGGUGGGGUAACGGCCUACCAAGGCGACGAUCAGUAGCCGAUCUGAGAGGGUGGACGGCCACAUUGGGACUGAGACACGGCCCAAACUCCUACGGGAGGCAGCAGUGGGGAAUUUUGCACAAUGGGGGAAACCCUGAUGCAGCGACGCCGCGUGAACGAAGAAGGCCUUCGGGUUGUAAAGUUCUGUCCUUGGUGAAGAU